CAGACGGACAGGGCCAAAUCGACUCAGCUCGUCACCCUGAUCAAGAAUAUUUUCAGGGUAUAAAAAUUCAAGCAAAAAUGCUGGCAAACGGAAAAAGUUAACAGUUCUUUCUUAGCUUUCUAUAAAUGGAACACAAAUUUCUGUAAAUUCUACAAAACAUGCCCCUGUCCAAAAAAUACUGUAAAAUUUAUUUUUGAAAAACCUUAAAAAUUUUGUUAAAAUUGGUUCAAAGUUUAAGUUGGUAGGGGGGGCUAUAAUUAUGACAAGCACUGUAUUUACAAUGAACCAAAUGAGAUAUGGUUGAAAUAAGCAUCUUAAUGUCAGACAGACAACAUUGAUUUGUGGAAGAGUAUGAAUGUGUAGAGUAUUAUAGUGCCAAGCAUAGUCACAAGUGAUAUACUGAUUUCUCGCCUCAUAUUUGGUUUGUCCCGCGUUGACGUCGACCUCCUCGAAAAAUCCCUAAGAAAUUUACAUCAGAGAACUUAUUGCAGAAACAGAUUAAGCAGCUUUUAAAUACUUAAGGAACUUUCUUAAAGAAACAGACCAAAGGAAUCAUGUGUACAAAUAUAUUUUUGUUUAUUUCAAAAAUAUAUACAAUAUGUAAGGAACUGCAAAAUAUACUAGUUGAAUGACUCGAAUUACUUUAGCUAGCAAAUAAUGAGGAAAUUAAAAUGAACUCGUAUUGAUUAAAUUGAUAGCGAGAAUACUUUGCACAUUUCAAUUGGAAACUGCGGAUGACUGGUCGUCGUCUUUUGACGUCUCAAACUAUGUAAGUUUUUACUUAGCUUUUAUUUCAUUUUAAUUUUCAAAUUACUCUCACAACGUACCAUUUUCAUUUCUGCUCCUCGAGCGUAUAUUAUCCACAGCUGCAUAGCCAAUGCUGGAUUUCUGGACGACGACUUAGAUGAAUUCCUGUACUUUGAGUCAUAAUGCACAUGAGUUUUUAUGUUUAAAAAUGGGAGCUUGAAAUAUAAACAUUUAAUGGAAGUUAAAUACGGUAAACGAUGUUGGACAACUUUAAGGAUUUGAAUAAAACGCAAGAGUGUCUGCUGUAAUACUGUGAUAUAAGCCCAUUUGCAGUUAAGAAUAAUGAAAUAUGUUGCUCUACAAGUGUAAGUAUGUAACUGGCGUAAAAUAUAUACAUACAUUAUUAGAUUAGAUGUGCAGGUGCUCGCUUUUUGUGCUUUCUGUGCAAACCGACUAUCAACUAGUCGUGUGGAAGGUGUGGAAUACAGCAUUGUUUUUCGUACUUAUAUCCGUGGCCAAAAGUCGCAAAGGCAACGGCUUUUAGCAAAAUUUCAUUUCGAGCAUAAACUUAUAAUCAUAAACAAGCCAGAGCAACGCCUAAAACAUUCACACUAGCCGACAACACACAAAUGUUCGCUGUGAAGUGUGCAAUCCUCAUACGCCCUAUUCCAAUCCCAUUCCGGAGUCCCGGCGUAGCUGCUCUUCCGCUGGAAUGGGUACAGCGGACGCCCAAGUCAAGAUAAACUGUACGUCUUGAAGCGCAUACGCCUCCCUCCUGGCCGCAGCUCCACUUUGCACUUCAACAUUUACUGAAGGGGAUAGGGGCUGUGCGCCAAUGUGUCUACAUAAAUGUGCACUGCAUGUGUGCUUGUGUGCUUGUAUGCAUGUGAGGAUGUAUGCAUGCAUGCAUACAAGUGUACAUGUAUACAUGUGGGCUUUGACUGCUGGCAUUUUUGCAUGUUUGUCCCGCAAAUUAUGCGUCGCGCACAAACAAAAGCGGAAACUCUGCUGCUGGCUACACUGAAACACUUUUUGGGGCAGAUGAUGGCUCUGGGUUGGGCUGGGCCCGGUUGAGCCUUAGCGAACCUCAUUUUUUACAUGGCCGUAGAGUUUGGCGCGUGUUACUUCCUGCUCAUUUUAUGUUUCGCUGCGAGCAGGAAAUAAUAAUUGCAACAUGGUACUGACUCCCCAGGGUAAAAGUUGCAACUGCAACUGCAAAGAAUGCAUUAGAUGAGCUCAGCAUCCGCGCGCGCAAAAAAAUGUCAUUUGUGGCAAACACUUUGACGCCCCAAAAGCCGAUUUGUUAACCCACAUUUCAGGCCAUGCCAUUAAUUUUUGUUACCCCACGGAAUGACCGAUUGUUUUUAAUGACCCGCGAGAGAGUCUGCUCCAAGUUAAUAGACCGCAACAUACACUUAUGCAACAUUUUACGCCUCAAUGUAGAAAUAAAUACCUUAGUCCUAUAUCGUUAAAAUAUAACGUCUCACUAUGGAAUGUAUGAUAUCUGCAGAAUAUCAAAUCUAUUAUAAAACCUAAUUUUAUAUAUACUGUUUUAUAUCUCGCAGUAACCGACUCCAUCUCUAAAAGAGGAUAAUUUUGAGAUAGCUGUAACAGUUUACAGUGAUCAGUCAAUCAAUCCCAAGUCACUUGUUUAAUUUUUGUAAAUAAAACUCAAGUCUCAUAAUCCACACGCACACAUACAUAUAUGUUUGUAUAAAUAUGCGUCUAGUGCCCUGUAUAUCCGACUGUUAAAACAUUUUGGUGUAAAGCCCGAUAACUAAAUUAAGACCAACUUAACUUGAAGAGUAUGUCUUUCACAUGAUAGCAUUAAAACAACACUCAAACCAUUUCCGUUCCGACGAAAUCGAUUAUUAUUAUCGAUAUUCUAUAAAUAUCACACAAAGAAAAUCGAUAGUAAUCGAUUUCGUCGAAACGGAAAUUGUUGGAGUGUUGUUUUAACGCUUCAAGUAUUUAAGUAUAUGUACUAUAUAUAUAUUGUAUAUACACAAACUUAAACUUAAAAAGAUAAUUAGACUUAUUUCUGAAAAUGUGUUUGUCAUAAAUAACAACAAAGUUUUUCAAUUUAUGACAAAGGAAUAGACACUCAAACGAUUUUUUGCAGGCAGCAUCAGACAUGUAAAUAUUUUAUUUUGAAAGAAGGUCAGUAAAGUAUGUGAACGAUAUAUUGAGAAAGCUCGGCGAAGUUCGCUUAUUCACUUCUUUUGAUUUUAUAUAUAUUUCCUUUGUCUCAAUUGCGAUUGAAAUUCGCUUUAAAAACCAAAUCGAAAUCGAAAUCAGUGAUCCCAAAGCUCUCACAGAGAAUUCUAGCUUUACUUAAAUAAGGCGAGUUUUACAGUAUCUAACUUCAUCGUAAAUUUGUCACAUUCUUUAUGUUUCCUGCAAAUUCAGUGCAUUUCCGUGCCAUGUGACC
This is a long non-coding RNA of Drosophila mojavensis, 3178 nucleotides long. RefSeq lists it as uncharacterized. The record is from RefSeq and is a predicted model, not a curated record. NCBI's taxonomy places the organism in Eukaryota, Metazoa, Arthropoda, Insecta, Diptera, Drosophilidae. The transcript is spliced from 2 exons.